RNAcentral lists this ribosomal RNA (503 nucleotides) under uncultured eukaryote. Its description in RNAcentral is "bacterial SSU rRNA". It matches the Rfam family "Eukaryotic small subunit ribosomal RNA", at positions 12 to 494 of the family's 1831-position model. The record is from RNAcentral.
UCCUGACGGUAGUCGUAUGCUCGUCUCCGAGACUAAGCCAUGCAAGUCCAAGUACACGUCCUUGAACGACGGAAACUGCGAACGGCUCAUUAAAUCAGUUGCGAUCUACUCGGCGUUCCGCGCCGCCGGAUAACCGUAGUAAUUCUAGGGCUAAUACGUGCGAAGCGCCCGAAGCCGCGAGGCGACGGGCGUUCUCGCCGGAUGUAGGAACCGACCCGGGGACCGCCGGGGCAACCCGGCGCCCCCGAGACGGGGCGAACCACGGUGAAAUGACGGAUCGUCGGCCCCGCGCCGGCGACUCGCCGAAUGAGUUUCUGACCUAUCAACUCGAGACGGCGGGGUAGAGGCCCGCCGCGGUAACGACGGGUAACGGGGAAUCAGGGUUCGAUUCCGGAGAGGGAGCCCGAGAAACGGCUACCACUUCCAAGGAAGGCAGCAGGCGCGCAACUUACCCUAAUCUCGAUUCGAGGAGGUAGUGACAAGAAAUACCGAUGCGGGACCCU